GACGUAGGGCGCGAGCGUUGUCCGGAUUUAUUGGGCGUAAAGAGCUCGUAGGCGGCUUGUCGCGUCGUUCGUGAAAACCUGCAGCUCAACUGCAGGCUUGCGGUCGAUACGGGCAGGCUAGAGUUCGGUAGGGGAGACUGGAAUUCCUGGUGUAGCGGUGAAAUGCGCAGAUAUUGGGAAGAACACCUGAGGCGAAGGCGGGUUGCUGGGCCGACACUGACGCUGAGGCGCGAAAGCCAGGGGAGCAAACGGG
RNAcentral lists this ribosomal RNA (253 nucleotides) under uncultured bacterium. RNAcentral's name for it is "partial 16S ribosomal RNA". It matches the Rfam family "Bacterial small subunit ribosomal RNA", at positions 524 to 776 of the family's 1533-position model. The record is from RNAcentral.